GAUGAUGGAAAAACUAGCAAGCUAUGGCUUCAAAGCUUACCUUAUUUAGAAAAGGAGAAAGGGUUUUUUUAUAGAUGUUGAGGUUGAGUAAGGGGGGCGGAGCUUGAAGAGUGACGCAAGCCACGCUAGCCUAGCAACAUUUUUCAGUAGCAAGCUAUGGUCUAACAACCCCCUAACCUAGGUUGGGGCGAAAACUCUAAAAUCCAAAACGUUGGUUAGGGUUCCUCUCCUUUUAGGCGAGCUACUUCGUUCCAAACCUUUCUCUAAUAAUAAGGUAAGGUUUCAAGCCGCCGCCCUUUAAAGGAGCGGGCGCAGUGAACUAUAAUUGUGAAAAGAUUGGAAGAUCUGGCCAAAGAAGGUGAUAGCCCUAUAGAUUCGUUCCCAUGGUUCGAUCCUUCCCAGUAAAAUGCGGCGUGUUCGAAUUUUGAUCGCUUUUACGCGAGAAAAGGGGACCACCCUCUAAGCCUAAAUAUUCCUCAAUGACCGAUAGCGUACAAGUACCGUGAGGGAAAGGUGAAAAGAACCCUAUUUAGGGAGUGCAAUAAAGAACCUGAGAUCCGAUGCGAACAAUCAGUUGAAGGAGCGGAGCUUAGAGCCUUUACUUUAUGUAAAACGCACUCACUCUAACGGCGUACCUUUUGCAUGAUGGGUCAGCGAGGAAAUGGGAACAGCGGCUUAAGCCAUUAGGUGUAGGCGCUUUCCAGAGGUGGAAUCUUCUAGUUCUUCCUAUUUGACCCGAAACCGAUCGAUAUAGCCAUGAGCAGGUUGAAGAGAGCUCUAACAGGCCUUGGAGGACUGAACCCACGUAUGUGGAAAAAUACGGGGAUGAGUUGUGGCUAGGGGUGAAAGGCCAACCAAGAUCGGAUAUAGCUGGUUUUCCGUGAAAUCUAUUUCAGUAGCGCGUAUGAUGUCGAUGGCCCGAGGUAGAGCACUCAAUGGGCUAGGGUGGCCUCAUUUUGCCUUACCAACCCCAGGAAAACUCUGAAUAAAGGCCUAGAUCGUUUGUACAAACAGACUUUUUGGGUGCUAAGAUCCAAAGUCGAGAGGGAAACAGCCCAGAUCGUACGCUAAGUUCCCUAAGCAAUCACUUAGUGAAAAAGGAAGUAAUCGAGCGAUGACAACCAGGAGGUGGGCUUGGAAGCAGCCAUCCUUUAAAGAAAGCAUAAUAGCUCACUGGUCUAGCUCCAUGGCACCAAAAAUGUAUCAGGGCUCAAGUGAUUCACCAAAGCGAUGAGACCUUGAAAGCUGCUUUUUCAAGUGUCAGUAGCGGAACGUUCUGUCAAUCGGGGAAGGUUUUUGGUGACAAGACCUGGAGAUAUCAGAAGUGAGAAUGCUGACAUGGGUAACAAAAAAUCCUGUGAAAAACACGAUCGCCUGCCAGUGGAAGGUUUUCUGUGUUCAGUCAAUCUACGCAAAGUGAAUCGGUCCCUAAGGAACCCCCGAAAGGGCCUAGUCCGAUGGGUACACGAAAGUGACGAAGUUGCUUUGACUACAGAACCUUGCCUGUCUGUUGGAGCGAAUUGGAUGAUCGGUCCGUGGGCUACCCCCUCUUCCCCUUACUCUCCUUUCCCUAAUAUGAACCUUAAGUCAUCAAAGCCUUUCUGACUCGGCCAGAUCCGGUCGCCCUACGCGACUGGCACUUCAAAAGGCAAAACUCUCAGUCGUAGUUUGGCGACCUAUCUUCAGUAGGGGCCUUUAGUCUUUUGAUUAGGUAGGGGCCGCGAGAGAGCAGAGCGUACCACCCUGCCAUAGUCACGAGUUUGUUUAUAGUCGUGACUGUUGUCAUAGUCAAUAAGGUUGAAACUUCCAGGAAAAAACUUUGAAUUGGGAGGGCGAUCCUCCCGGUGAACUGACCGUACCCCAAACCGACACAGGUGAACAAGUAGAGUAUACUAGGGCGCUUGAGAGAACAAUGUUGAAGGAACUCGGCAAAAUGACCCCGUAACUUCGGGAGAAGGGGUGCUCUCUUAUCUUUUGAUUAGGAAAGUGGCACAUACCAGGGGGUAGCGACUGUUUAUUAAAAACACAGGACUCUGCUAAGUGGUAACAUGAUGUAUAGAGUCUGACACCUGCCCAGUGCUAAAAGGUCGGAAGGAGAAGUGUUAUAAGCUUUGAAUGGAAGCCCCGGUAAACGGCGGCAGUAACUCUAACUGUCCUAAGGUAGCGAAAUUCCUUGUCGCAUAAGUGACGACCUGCACGAAUGGUGUAACGACUUCCCCGCUGUCUCCGACAUGGACCCGGUGAAAUUGAAUUCUCCAUGAAGAUGCGGAGUACCAACGGCUAGAUGGUAAGACCCCGUACACCUUAACUAUAGCUUCGCAGUGAUAACCUUAAUCGAAUGUGUAGGAUAGGUGGGAGGUGGUGACACACAACGACCAAUACUGAAAGACCAUUCUUUCAUCUAAGGAUGCCUAACCGCCGCACCAAUCAUUUGGGGGGAGGCGGGACACUACGAGGUGGGUAGUUUAUCUGGGGCGGAUGCCUCCUAAAGAGUAACGGAGGUGUGUGAAGGUAGGCUCAAGCUAAGAUUCUGCUCGUGAGCGUAAUGGUAUAAGCCUGCCUGACUGUGAGACCGACUGAUCGAACAGAGACAAAAGUCAGCCAUAGUGAUCCGGAAGUCCCGUAUGGAAAGGCUCUCGCUCAACGGAUCAAAGGUAUGCCGGGGAUAAUAGGCUUAUGACUCCCAAGAGCUCUUAUCGACGGAGUAGUUUGGCACCUCGAUGUCGACUCAUCACAUCCUGGGGUUGAAGAAGGUCCCAAGGGUUUGGUUGUUCGCCGAUUCAAGUGGUACAUGAGUUGGUUUUAGAACAUCGUGAGACAGUUCGAUUCCUAUCUACCGUUGGUGUUAAAGGGAGAACUACGAGGAGCCAACCCUAGUAUGAGAGGAUUGGGUUGGGCUAACCUAUGGUGUACCGAUUGUUAUGCCAAUAGCAGCACCGGGCAGCUAAGUUAGUAUGGAAGAACUGCUGCGCCGUGGGAAAUCCUUCUCUAUACAAGUUCUCGGAUGAGGUUUUUGAACAGAACUUCGAUAGGCGAGAGGUGUAAGCACCGCGAGGUGUGAAGAGAUCUCGUACUAAAUGAAACGACUUUCACUU
RNAcentral lists this ribosomal RNA (3095 nucleotides) under Capsicum annuum var. glabriusculum (American bird pepper). RNAcentral describes it as "bacterial LSU rRNA". It matches the Rfam family "Bacterial large subunit ribosomal RNA". The record is from RNAcentral. Lineage: Eukaryota; Viridiplantae; Streptophyta; Magnoliopsida; Solanales; Solanaceae.